UACGUAGGGUGCAAGCGUUAUCCGGAAUUAUUGGGCGUAAAGAGCUCGUAGGCGGUUUGUCGCGUCUGCCGUGAAAGUCCGGGGCUCAACUCCGGAUCUGCGGUGGGUACGGGCAGACUAGAGUGCAGUAGGGGAGACUGGAAUUCCCGGUGUAGAGGUGAAAUUCGUAGAUAUCGGGAGGAACACCGGUGGCGAAGGCGGCGAUCUGGGUCGAUACUGACGCUGAGGUGCGAAAGCGUGGGGAGCAAACAGG
RNAcentral lists this ribosomal RNA (253 nucleotides) under uncultured bacterium. RNAcentral's name for it is "partial 16S ribosomal RNA". It matches the Rfam family "Bacterial small subunit ribosomal RNA", at positions 524 to 776 of the family's 1533-position model. The record is from RNAcentral.